UCGCCCCUUCCACAGAAAAGAGCAGAUGAGCUCACGGACAAGAAGGUAUUAGGGCUUCUGCUCCCUCUGUGUGCCUCUAUUUCCCGUUUGCACAAUGAGCCCAAGAGUUGUCGUGUUCCAGGGUUCACUGGUAAGCCCUGGCGACCUGGAGGCUGAGCCCUGGGCAGACCGAGGCCAGUCCAUGCUCUGCACGCCCCCCCCCCCCCCAACACACUCCCAUCUCAGGAGCCCAGGAAGCAGCUUCUGGGACCUGCCAAGGGCUCGGAGGUCCACACCCUCCCGGCCGGGAGAGCUGCUGACCCUCUGGGAGGCCGUCAACAGAGCAAAGAGGAAGCCAGGCUGGGAACCUAGUGGUGCAACCCGGUCCGUGGUGCCGACGACCUCGUGAGCUUGUGCAAUGAACCUGGAGUCCGGAAAGCGGCUGCCUGCGGCCGCACGCAACGGGCAGGCCGACGGGUCACCCAGGAGGCCGCCCUCUAGCCCAGGUGGCCUGGGCGAGCCACGGCCACACGUCACCCCCACCUGAGCUGGCCAAUGGGACCCCAGCCGCCACUACCCUUCCGAACACUGAGGCCCACGCUCACCAUCCCCCACCCAGCUCCAGUGCCUCCUCCCUGGGGUCUCCCAGGGGCUAGGCCACCCUCCCCACCCACGCACAAGUGGCCACUGUCCUCCCUCCAAGGGUGCCUGUCCAAGCCCAGCCCCUAUCAUGUUGCCCUUUGGGCCCUCGAUCCCCCAGGAUAGAGCAGGAAGCCUGGCCCUCAGUCGGAGCCUGGCUCUGGUCUCUGAGCGCCCUGGGCUGGAGUCCUGGUCAGCACCUCUUCCAAGUGCACCCUGCAGCAAAACCCUUCCCCCCUCUGUACACGGGGGUCACAAAGGGCUCCGCUCACCGGCCCGGGACUGCCCUAGGGGCUGCGUUGGGAGAGGAGGGCUGGGAGGGCGUCAGGCGUGUCUCUGGGUGGACCGUGCAUGGGAGGAGCCGCAGAGACCACUGCAGGCCAAGGGGGCCGUGGGCAAAGGCCAGGGCAACAGGAGUUGGGCCCAGGUGAGGAAUCGGCCUGCCUCGGCACAGGUCUGCCAGGGAAGGCCGGGCUGCGAGAGGCACAGGGGUGGCGAUGUGGGGAUAACAGGACGGCUCUUCCCACAGCUCCUGGCGGCAGCCCACCCCCCAGGACACCCAGGCCCAGGCCAGCUCGGAUCUGGGGUUGGGAGGGGCUGGUCGGACCCUGGUUAUCUCGGCUCCCCUGGCGGGGCACUGGAUACAGAGCCCAGAGCCCCCAGCCAGGCUGGUUAUCAGGGGCCACUGAGCCCUGACCUCAGCAGGCCCAGGCUGGGCACGGGGCGGGGGUGCCUGAGGCGUUCCCAGCCCGCCCCCGCACCCAGUAUCUGGAGCUGCCCCGCCCGGCCUGAGAUAGUUGCCCAGAGAGGAGAUAGAUGCUGGGAACACACCGCAGGGCCGGCUCCCAGUGGCCACGGAGAAGGGAGCGGGGAGGUGGCCCUGGACUUGGUGGACAGGCUCAGCCCAGCGAGCGCUGUCGGGGUGAGUCUGGGGGUCCCGCUGGAGAGGAAACUUAGAGAGUGGACUGCCUGACACCCACGUGUGUCUGAGCAGAGCCUAGACUGGGGCUUGGGCUCCGGCCUCCUGCCCACAGAUGGCCUCUGCCAUGCAGGCCGCACGGUCUGCAGGCCUGGCUGCCUGCUCUCCACUCCGGAGGGAGCUGAAGGACGGCGGGGAUGUGCUUGCCGCCACGGGCGCGCCCCUGCACAGGGCUCCCAGGGCUGCACGGCCCUGCCAGGGACCUGCCGGCCCGAGCCCGUGCCCCAGGCAGGGGCUCCCCUGUGCCAGGCCCAGCGCAUGACUUGUGGCCUGGGGCGGGGGGCGGAAGGAGACACCUGUUCACGCCCACCUGGGGCCCCGUGAGGGCAGAGGGGUUCCUGGGAGAAUGGGAUCCCAGAAAGCCCCUCUUCCCACGUGAAGGGCCUUCCAGGGCCCCCACCCCAGGCCCACCCAGCGCCCGCGGCCAGCCUUCCUGCCAGCUCUUGCAACACUGCGUGAGGGCUGCGCAGAAACCCGAUCUCGGGCUCAGGCCCUGACGUGCCCCUGCCGCCCGUCCCACUAAGCUCUUCUCCGUGGUGGGGCCGCUGGUCCCAGACCCCGUGGAGACCCAUGGCUCGUGCCUGCAGGUUCUCAGGAGGGCAGCCAUGGGCACUGCCCUGGCCCUGCCUCCCACGUAAGGGGGCUCCGAGACGGGACCCUCUGCACGGAGCCGUCCAGCAAAAGCCUCUGUCCCACCAGCCGGCCAGGGCUGUGGAAGAAACCAGCCCCUGACCCUCUGGCAGCUGGGCAAGUCCACCCAGUCCCUGCACCUCAGUUUCCCCAUCCAGGAAUGGGACGCCUGCCCAAGACCCUCGUCAGAUGCCUGGGGCGCCUCCUGCAGGAGAAUGGGUGCCACGCUGCUCCCCAGCACAGGCCACCGCAGGUGGGGCCUUCCUUCCUCUGCAGCAGAUGGUGAAGGAGCAGUGGUGACGGGGAAUAAACAAGCCACGGGCCUCGUCCCUGUCAGAGCAGGGUCCUCACAGGUGGGUUCAGCGGAGGAGGGGGCUGGCCCUGCGGCCAGAAGCCUCCUGAAGGCAGGCAAUCUCCUCUCUGCACCAGGCCCAGGCCCCUCUGGCUGCUCUCUGCUCUGAAGCGGGCAGGGCCGCCCUGCACGUGUGUGCAGGUUGGGCACUGCUCAAGGGACAGUGAGCCGUCAGGGCAGUGGUCCUGCUACACGAGGCAUCUUCCCAAAGCUCGAAGUGGAGCCCCUCCUCAAGUGCUGGCUUAAACCUGGAGCAACGCACCCUCUCAUGCCCCCCCACCCCAAGGGAUGAAGCUUGACUCCUCUGCCCCCCGCCCCCGCCAUGGCUCUCAGCUUGGGUCUCACUUUCCCUGUGAGCUCUGUGUUCCUGCUGCCUCUGCCCUCCCCAUCGGCACCCUGGUCACACGAUGCUGCCACUUCCUGGUCCCUGGGACACCUUUCUCUCCACCAUCCCGGCCCGUUGGUCUGUGGGCUCUGCCAGGGCCGGAAUCAAACCACUUUGGAAUCCCACCGAGGUCUGUAGAAGGCAGGGGGGCGGGAGGGGCCUGGGGCUGUGGGAGAUAGGCUUUGCUGGUAAGGCACCCAGGACUGGGGCAGAGAAUAAGCUGGCGGUGGAGGGAGCAGGUGGGCGCAGGGGAGCCUCUGGUCAGGGGCUCAGGGCCAGGGCCAGCAAACUGACGGCACCGUGUCCCUCUGCCAGCCCCCAGGACCCUUGCAGCCCCCAGUUGCCCCACAGCCCUGAACCCCCACCUCCCUGCCUCACACAAAGCCCAGGUUUUCCGGGCCUUACCUCUCCCUCUGUACAGGAGCCCAAGCCCCUCCACGUGCCCCCACCCGGGUAGCACCCCCAGCCGCUGGUGCAGCCGUGCCCCAUCCCUCAGGUGCGUCUCUGCUCCCGCGGCAACUCAGCCCCCUUUGAAAGUCGUGCUGACGUUCAAGGGCCACCCCCCAGAGGUCCUGGGAAGAUGGGAAGAGCCCGCAUCUCCCUACUGCCUUGAGGGAGCCCUGAGGGGCCUUUGUGGGGCCCGGCUGGACCCUCGGGACAUUGGAAACCCGGGACACUCAGGAGGCCUGUUAGGGGGUCCCAUGCUCGCCGACCCUGCUGGGCAUCUGGGUCUCUCCCCCAUCCCGUUCCCACCAGGCAGCUCAAGGUGCUGAGAGGCGGCACAUGCCCGGGCAGGGCCCACUGCAGCUGGCGGCUCAGAGGAUGGCACUCCUGCUCCGCCGCUGGCUCAUGCCCCCUUGGGAGUCAGGGUCAGGGAGGUGCCCACCCACAGGUCACACCCUCCUGGCUCUGGGCCCCCGCUUCCUUCCUCCCUCCUCUCCGGCAAACUAGAGACCCAGAAACCAGACCUCCAUGAGCCGGGGCCCCAAGGGACUGCUGGGAGCCUGGUGACUCUCUGUCCUCCCCUGUGCCGGGGAUCAGUAGUCUCUCAAAGGGCCUCUGGGCAUCUCUCAGGCCUGUCCCCAAGGGCCGGCGCGGCUCAGGCUUCAGUGAGCCUGAGGCAAGUGUCCCAGCAGCUCUCCUCUCCGCAGACCCCCACUGGCCACAUGGCCAAGCUGCCCAGCUGAGGCUCCCGCUAGAGACAACCGAUGGGGUAGGAGGGAGCGGCUGCCAGGGGUCAGCCCUGGAGGGGCCAGCGGUGGGCGUGGUCUCCAGGCCAGUCCCGGGAAGUGCCAGGGAAGGGGCCGGAGGUGGCCUGGCCUCCUCUCGGGCAGCAGAAGGGUGGACACCAGCUGACACCCACACCCCGCUGCCUGCCACACCUUCCUCCUCGGCCCAGCGUUUUCUCACGCUCGGAGCUGGCAUGGCGAACCCUGCGUGCUGGGACUUGUCACCCCAUCCCGGGAAGGUGGGCGAGGCUUUUCCUCUGGGCCUGGGGGCAGGGGCCACCGCAAGUCAAGACACGGCCUGGAGUGGUGGAGCCGGGUUGCGACACCGGCUGAGCAGCUGCAGGGGGCCCGGCCCACAUCUGGCCCGUGUCCCAGUCCGUCCGCCUACCUUGGCACCUACCCCCCGCUGGGGAGGACAGAGAGCAUGGGUGGGCUUGGGGAGGCGGGUUCCCAUCCUUCCUAGAGGUGGACCCAGGGGCUUGGGCCAAGGCCCUGCCCCCCUCUGGUCCUCAGUUGGAAACUGAGGAAAUUGAGGAUCGUAAAGUUUCGUCGGGACACCCAUGUGCACCCACACGCCCCGCACCCUGUCGGAGUCUGCGGUGUGGUCAGCAGUGCUGACCUCAGUUUUCCCCUCUGGAGAGUGGGAUGACAGCAUAGCUACCUCAGGGCUGCUGGGAGACUCCAACAAGAAAUCCACACUUUGGGAGCCCUGGGCCCUGCAGCAUCACGGCUGUGACUUUGGGACAGAGGGCCAGGAAUUCCUAAGGGCCCCCGAGGCUGACGUGCUGCGGGGACAGAGGCCUGAUGGCCCCCAAGCCUCACUCAGUCCCGGGACAAGAUCUUGGAUCUCUCUGGCCAGAACUGGUGAGGUUCACUGUCCAGGUGAGAGCUGGGUGGAGGCCCCCCUCCAGCAGGGCCCCCGCCUCCGGCCAGUCCCCCCGGUGACAGACUGGCCCCUGAGCAAAUCCAUUUCAUUUGAGGUCAGGCCGGCCUGUGGUUCCCCUCAACCCACCAGGUCCUGGUGUGGGCGUCUGGUUGUAAAGACAAAACCGGAUCCUCUCUGGGCACCACCCCUGUAGGGCCAGUGGGGACCCAGGCCGAGGGUGGUCCCCAGGAGGGUGGCAUGAGUACCUGGCCUGUCCCAUUUGCCUCAGCGAAAUGGGGGGCGGGGGUAGAGUGGGACAUGGGACAGGCCGGAGUGGCGCCCUGGACAGACCCUCCUCAGUUCUGUUGUCACGUGGAGAAACUGAGGCCCAGGGAUGUGCAAGCCCACGGCUGGGCUCGUGGGCCAAGCUGGGCCCCCGGAGGCCCCGGGCCUUCCUGGCCGUGAUGUGCAGGCUGUUCUCUGGGCAGGAAGGAGGGCCUGGGGCGCAGGGCUCUGGGGAAAGGGCCCCAUAGCUUAAGAGCGCCUUCCGCAGGAGUCACCAGCUGCCGUCGGAGGCUGGGGAGACGGAGAGGCAGGCCCCCUGGGAGGCAGCCCCUCGACACCCUGGCAACCCCCCAGGCAGGCGUGGGAAUGUGACUGGAGGGAACAGGGCCUCUCCCCCAGGAAUCAGCGGCUGGGCGCCAGCCAAGGCGGGUCUGAUCCAAAGAGGAAGCAAAGUUCAGCUGCUGCGGAGCAGAUGAGCUGCUGGGGGCGGACGCAGGCCGUGAAGAUGGGGCUCCAGCCCCAGCCCUGGCUGAGCCCUGAUCCCAGGUGCAGACGCCCCUGACUGUAGCCACGGGCUGCCUUCCGAUCCCAGUUACAGGCUGACGUCUCACCCCAGCCCCAGACUGAGCCCUGACACAGGCGUGAACUGAGCACACACCCCAGCCUUGGACCAGCCCCUGACCCCAACCAGACCGGCCCCGAUCCAGGCACAGACCAGCCUCAUCUCUGCUGACGUCCAACUCCGGCUUUGUCCACCUCUGGCUCUUUGCUUCUUCAGCCCCCAGGCCGAGACCAUCCUGGGUUGCAUCAGCAGGGGCCAGCCACCGGGAUCAGGAAGGUGACGGUCCACGCUGUUGGAUGCUGUGUCCCUUCCUGGCCCUGCACUUUCAAAGGUCCGCAGACCAGCUGGAGUGGGUGCAGGAGGGAGACCAGGGUGCAGGCCUGGGGGCGCCGAGGGGGCCAAGGCUGGCUGUUGUGGAGGCAGGAGGCCUGCUCAGCCUGGUGGGACCCAUGCCACCUCCAGCGUGUGAGCCAGCGUGCCACCUCCACCACCUUGUCUUCCAGCCAGCCCUGAAAGGCGGAGCGCACCCGCCCUGCUUCGUGGACGAGGAACCGGGCCGGACAGGCUCAGUGAUACCCAAACGUACAGAGCACGACCCGAGGCAGUCUGACCCGAAGCCCAGUCAGCCGUGCUGGAGGCAGACCUCAGCCUGAUGCCAACACCACCAGCCUAUGGGGCGGGGGCUGCCUUGAGUGGAUGGGGCAGCUUCACGGGGGCGGGGGGGAGACGUCGGGGGAGAUGCAGGGGACCACCGAGCUGGGGUGUCGGAGCCGGAUCUGGGCCCCCAGGUGGGAGGGGGGCCAGUCUGGGUUGUUGGGCCCCUGCAGCCACCAACUCGGGCUCCCUGAGCCUCCCAGGAGCUGAGGCUGGGCACUCCGAGCUUGGGGGGAAGAAGCUGUGUUUAUUCGGAGCUCUAAUCUCUGGGCCUUAUCACCGCCUGUUUGCCCAUCGAGAGCUCACACAUGGCUGGAGGUCACAGCGGGGUGGGAGGGGCUGACAAUAUUUGCCCACUUCUCCGAGCCUCUCAGCUCGGAGGGGUCUCCCGCGGGCACCAGAUGCCAGGUGGGGUGCCUGCCGUGUUGACAUUCCCCAGCUCUGAGUUUGGCUUCCGAUAGCGGUGCACGAGGGCGUGGCCGGAGCAGCCCUUUCUCAUAGGAAACCUCGAGAAACAGCUGCGCACCCCCCCGCGGGGCUUGGUUGCCCCCAUGCUGUCCCAGCCCACACCUGGGACGUGGGAAAGUCCACUUGGAGUGUCCAGGGGCUGUGCUGGGGCUGGGGACAGCAAAGCCCCGCAGGAGGCCGGGCCCAGCCCCAAGUCAGGGCCCACGGCAGGGUGCCCAGACCCUGCCCGAAGGAGGCAGUGUGGCUUGGUGGUUAGGGCACACGAAGGCUCCGCGCGCUUGGCACUGUGUGACUUGGGGAGCCCCAGUUUCCAGCUAUUAAACGGGGCGCUCGUGAGUCCCACACCAUAGAGUUGCAGGGAGACGGAUGAGAUGCUGAGCCCCACACACACACCACCGCCCGCCUCCCACUGGGCGCAGUAGGGCCAUCGCCCCCCUCGCCCCAGAGGCUGACCAGGCCCCAGGGGAGGCGGGCUUGGGCAUGCCCUCCCACCCAGGUUCCAGGCCAGCAGGAGCCUCUCCAACACCCUCAGCCACUCCCCGGCUGCUUCCAGUGAGGGCCCUUUUCCUUUCUGGGUCUAUUGGGGGUUAACCGUCCCCAUCACCCAGUUUACGGGACCUCUGGUUGCUUCAGAGCCCGCCUGGUACCAGCAGGCCCGCCCCCUGAGGAUGGGAACCCACCUGCUGCGCUUGGGGGCCCCCACGGGCUUUAGGGGGACGGGCCAGGAGGAAGAGGCAAGGAGGUAGCUGGUAGCCGUGGCCUCCUCGAGGGCCUCGGUGGGACAGCGGCACCCGGACGGUGCUGUCACCGCGUCCAGCCCAGGGGAGCCCGGGUCUAGGCAGGCAGGCUGGUCCCAGGCUAGGGUGCCAGCAUGGCCGGCCCAGGGUCAGGCGGCUCCGGGACCAGGUUGCCGUGUGACCUGGGUGAGCCCAGGCCCUUUGCCUUCCCAAGUCCUUUCCUCCGUAAAAAACAAAAAGAGUGAAAAUUAGAUCUUAUGGUUGUGUUGGUCUAAAGAUAAAUACACUAAUAUUAUAUAUGAAAGCAUUUUCUUGUUCUUAAAAAUUCAGUUUUUUCUCCUGAUUUUAAAAGACAUUAAAAUACUUCCCUGAGCCUCUGGAAGUCUCCUGGUUCCUGGUCUCUGGGCCUGAAAGGGGAGUCGGUCUCUGGGGAUUCAGGAGCCCAGAGGAGGGGCCUAACCUGGGCUUGGGGUCCGGGAUGCGACUCAGAAAAUGUGACACCAGAGCCCGGAACAGGACACAGGAGGAGCCAGACAGAGAGGAGGGGCGGGGGAAGAGGCAGGAAGAGCCUGGGGCUCCUGGAGGUUGAUGGAGCCCGGGUUCCAGCAGCCUCCAAGCGUGGAGGCGGGGCCUCGUGGAGGCGGGUGGGCGGGGCCUCUGGUGGGCACCCGGCUCGUUGGGGCUGGGGCUUGUCCCGAGCACCUAGAGGAACCACAGGAGGUUUACGCAGGAGUGGGGGUGGGGGGGUAAGGUGCGGGGGGAGGGGCUGGAGCUGCAGCCCGGAAUGUGGGGGAGACGCUGCUGCAGGUGUCGGGGGGAGUCCCAGCAGGGAGCGAUCCCAGCCUGAAGAGGUCCCAGCAGGGAGCGAUCAGGAGGCUGGUUGGCCCUGGGCCUCGUUUCCCCACGUGCACAAUGAAGGGUUGGGCUAAAUGGUCUCCAGGGAGGUUCCUGAAGGCCAACGGAAGGCCUGGGGGAAAGGGGGCAUUCUACAGGUUGGGGGGUCUUCACCCAGCGCUCCAGGAGGGAAAUAGGGUGGGGUGGGGCUGGGGCAGCUCCCUCUGACCCCCUGCACUGCGGCCUCCCAGCUACAGAGCUCUGCCCACUGUCUACCCCACUUCCCUCCUGGGACCACCUGCCUGGGGACCAGCAGCCCUUGUGGUCCCCACGUGCCCUCCCUCCGUCCCUCCACUGGUAGCUAAACUACCAUCGAUCAGGGCAGCCACACCUGCUGCUCUCCAGUCCCCUCCUCCCUCCGCUGGGCUCAGGGGGGCCCAGGCACCCAGCAGCCCCUCAAGGACCCCGAGGCAGGACUGCUCAGACCUGAAGGCUGCAGCCCUCUGUCCUGUGAACCCCAAGAGAGCCCCCGACCAGAAUACCUGCCAGGAGGAGCAAGGCCCUGCACAGCCUUCUCACCAUCCCACAGGUGAGAAAACUGGGGCCCCCUCCCCUUAGCUUUGCACUGGAGAGGGGAGAGGGGCACAGGCGGGGACGGGGAGGGGGAACCAGGAACGGAGCCCCUCAGCUGCCUCCCCCAUCACUCAGAAGAGCCACCCCCGCCGUCAUCUGUGUCAGGGAUAGAGACCAGGGUCCUCCCCUGGCACUGUCCUGACCAGCGUCCUGCCCUGCAGCUCAGGCUCCCCAGGAGCACCUGGACCUGUGGCUCUGCACCAGGGAUGGGACGGGCGCUGGGAUGGGACAGACGCUGGGAUGGGACAGGCGCUGGGAUGGGACAGGCCCUGGGAUGGGACAGGCACUGGGAUGGGACAGGCCCUGGGAUGGGACAGGCGCUGGGAUGGGACAGGCCCUGGGAUGGGACAGGCGCUGGGAUGGGACGGGCCCUGGGAUGGGCCAGGCGCUGGGAUGGGCCAGGCGCUGGGAUGGGCCGGGCCCUGGGAUGGGACAGGCCCCGGGAUGGGACAGGCGCUGGGAUGGGACAGGCCCUGGGAUGGGCCAGGCGCUGGGAUGGGCCAGGCGCUGGGAUGGGACGGGCCCUGGGAUGGGACAGGCCCUGGGAUGGGCCAGGCGCUGGGACGGGGCCUCCACAGCGCCCCAGCCCUCUCUCGGCAAACAAAGGCCCUGCUAACCAUAUGCUGCUGCUCUGAUUUGUUUGGGCUAGGGGGGGGCCUGGGGGGAACGGGGGGCCUGGCACACCCCACCCAGCCACCUUGGCACCACAGAAAUGCCUCUUAGCCUGCCGGGCCCCUCCCUAAUCAGGGGUCCCCCCAGCCCCCCACCCCCCCUCCCCCAACUCCGUCCCCACAGCCCUGGGACCGAUGCCUCCGCUGCCCCAGCUGGGCAGGCUGCCCACGUGUGGCGGUACGCACGGGCGUCACAGCUCAGUCCCCAGAGGGCGGGAGAGGACUGGGGGUUUGCUGGGAGAGACCAGAGGCCUGAGAGGAUCCUACCCAGCUCCAUACCAGGAGGUAGUGGGGGAAUGGUCACCUCCCCAGUGCCGAAGCCCCAGGCCCGUCCUGCUCCCCAACAGGGGCCGGCAGAGUGGGGCCCCGCCUGCUGUGCGCUGCCUCUCCUGAGCCCGAGGCCCCACACUCCUCCCAGUUCCCUCCCCCACGCCUCCUGCCACCCCCCACCCCAUCCCCCGUUGGGCGGGAUUCCACCGCUUCCCUCUGCGAGACCUCGGGGAAGGCCUGGUGCUCUGCCCCCACCUGCGGGACCACCGCAGCUCACCGCCCAGCAUCCCCACCCCCAGGCCCCGCCCCUCCCAGCCUCCCCCAGCCCCAGCGGUGAUUAAUAAAUGAGGUGAAAACUGAGCUCGGGGAGGCCUGGCGGUGCCCCCGCACUCCAGUCCAGCGCUUGGGGCUCAGCCGCAGCCCCGCGAGCCCCCGCCCGCACCACCCCCCCCACCACCCCCCACCACCCGCCACCUGCCCGCCCGGGUCAGUUCCCCAAGCUCCUGGCGCCACCUGCUGGGCCAAGUGGACGCUUGCGGUGUUCCACCGGCUCGACCACAGAGGCCCAGGUGGGAACUCAGAUGGGGAGUGGCUCAGGUGCGGAGGGGGCUCAGAUGGGGAGAGUCAGAGAAGUCCUGUGAGACCUUGGGUGGCUUGAGGAGGGUUGCGCGGGCACACACACACAUUCUCAUUCUCUCUCUCUCACAGUGGGCGUUCCUGGGGCCGCACUGCCCCCCUGUGGCAGCAGGAUGCCCUGCAUGAAGCCCAUUCAACCACCCCGUCUCUGAGGCCCUGGCAGGAAUGCUGGUCCCUCAGCCCGUGUUGUAGGGGGACCCUGAGGCCUGGGUGAGGGCAGAACCUGGUAAGCCACGGACCCCUUGCUCUGCCCCGCAAGUCUCCAGGGACAGUCUGAGUCUGGUACUUGGAGGCCUGGGUUCCAGACCUAACAGUCACCCACCCCGUCCCUAGUGCAGGAGGAAGGGGCUCCAGGACCGUUCUCCCUAGAGAGCCGGGUCCAAAGUUAGGACACAUGUCCCAGCACAGCCCUGCCCUUCCCGGGGACCCAGACUGCCCGGGCAGCCAAGCAGAGCUGCCAGACCCUGCCAAGGACUGCGGAAGAGGAAAUUAAACCCCAAAGAAGUAGAAGAAAUAAUAAAGAUAAGAGUAGAUAUAGAUGAAAUAGAAAAUGUACAAACAAUGGAGAAAAUCAGUGAAGCCCAAAGCUGGCUAUUUGAAAAGAUCAAUAAAAUGGAUAAAUUUCCAGUUAGUCUGAUCAAGAAAAAUAAAAGGAAGAGACAAACGGCCAAUAUGAGGAGUGAAAGAGAAGGUAUCACUUCACACCCUAAAGACAUUACAAGAAUAAUAUUUCAGUAUUAUCAAUUGAUGACCAAAAAUUGGACAAUUUAGGGCUUCCCUGGUGGCGCAGUGGUUAAGAAUCCGCCUGCCAACGCAGGGGACACAGGUUCGAGCCCUGGUC
Molecule: RNA transcript, 11649 nt
Organism: Orcinus orca (killer whale)
Lineage: Eukaryota; Metazoa; Chordata; Mammalia; Artiodactyla; Delphinidae
Exons: 4
Source: RefSeq, a predicted model, not a curated record